RNAcentral lists this ribosomal RNA (253 nucleotides) under uncultured bacterium. Its description in RNAcentral is "partial 16S ribosomal RNA". It matches the Rfam family "Bacterial small subunit ribosomal RNA", at positions 524 to 776 of the family's 1533-position model. The record is from RNAcentral.
UACAGAGGUCUCAAGCGUCUGUCGGAUUCAUUGGGCGUAAAGGGUGCGUAGGUGGUUUGUUAAGUCUGCUGUGAAAUCCCCGGGCUCAACCUGGGAAUGGCAGUGGAUACUGGCAAGCUAGAGUGCGGUAGAGGGUAGUGGAAUUCCCGGUGUAGCAGUGAAAUGCGUAGAGAUCGGGAGGAACACCAGUGGCGAAGGCAGCCCCCUGGGAUAACACUGACGCUCAUGCACGAAAGCGUGGGGAGCAAACAGG